AUUGAACGCUGGCGGCAUGCUUUACACAUGCAAGUCGAACGGUAACAGGGUGCUUGCACCGCUGACGAGUGGCGAACGGGUGAGUAAUGCGACGGAACGCACCGAGUAAUGGGGGAUAACGCAGCGAAAGCUGUGCUAAUACCGCAUACGCUCUGAGGAGGAAAGCGGGGGACCUUCGGGCCUCGCGUUAUUCGAGCGGCCGACGUCUGAUUAGCUAGUAGGUGAGGUAAGAGCUCACCUAGGCGACGAUCAGUAGCGGGUCUGAGAGGAUGAUCCGCCACACUGGGACUGAGACACGGUCCAGACUCCUACGGGAGGCAGCAGUGGGGAAUUUUGGACAAUGGGCGCAAGCCUGAUCCAGCCAUGCCGCGUGUCUGAAGAAGGCCUUCGGGUUGUAAAGGACUUUUGUCAGGGAGGAAAUCCUUAGCGCUAAUACCGUUGAGGGAUGACAGUACCUGAAGAAUAAGCACCGGCUAACUACGUGCCAGCCGCCGCCGUAA
This 500-nucleotide ribosomal RNA is filed under the name uncultured bacterium. Its description in RNAcentral is "partial 16S ribosomal RNA". It matches the Rfam family "Bacterial small subunit ribosomal RNA", at positions 30 to 523 of the family's 1533-position model. The record is from RNAcentral.